Molecule: long non-coding RNA, 338 nt
Filed under: Coffea arabica (coffee)
Lineage: Eukaryota; Viridiplantae; Streptophyta; Magnoliopsida; Gentianales; Rubiaceae
Description: long non-coding RNA (CARA_LNC000089)
Source: RNAcentral
UAGGCCAAUAGAGGGAAGAAUUGAUCUUCUUCAUCAGUUGUACAUUUGAAUGUCAAGCCUUAGUUAGGAUGCAUCUUUUCGUUUCAUGUUUUUUUUUUUUACUUUUGUUCUCAGUUGUUGGGAUAAAAAGACCAUGGAUCUUUUAUACCACUUCCUAUUCCAAUCUCUCAAGGAAGACAACAUGUCUCUGUAACUUUGUGACGAAAUGCUGUUUGAGUAAACACACAGGACAUUAUUAUUAGUAAGACAGAAAAGGAAGUUGUAUAAAAGAUCUUUUGCCGGAACAAAUGACUACCUGCAACCAAUAUGACCAUUUCAGCUGAUGACUUAAUUGGCCA